AUACGUAGGGGGCAAGCGUUGUCCGGAAUUAUUGGGCGUAAAGCGCGCGCAGGCGGUUCUUUUAGUCUGGUGUUUAAACCUGGGGCUCCACUUCAGGUCGCACUGGAAAAUGGGGGACUUGAGUGCAGAAGAGGAGAGUGGAAUUCCACGUGUAGCGGGGAAAUGGGUAGAUAUGUGGAGGAACACCAGUGGCGAAGGCGACUCUCUGGGCUGUAACUGACGCUGAGGCGCGAAAGCGUGGGGAGCAAACAGGAUUAGAUACCCUGGUAGUCCACGCCGUAAACGAUGAGUGCUAGGUGUUAGGGGUUUCGAUACCCUUGGUGCCGAAGUUAACACAUUAAGCAUUCCGCCUGGGGAGUACGGUCGCAAGACUGAAACUCAAAGGAAUUGACGGGG
RNAcentral lists this ribosomal RNA (396 nucleotides) under uncultured bacterium. Its description in RNAcentral is "partial 16S ribosomal RNA". It matches the Rfam family "Bacterial small subunit ribosomal RNA", at positions 523 to 918 of the family's 1533-position model. The record is from RNAcentral.